GUCACUUUGAGGCCAGUCGGGUCACACACACUGAGACUCUGUCUCUAAAUAAAUAAACACCCAAACUCAAAACCCUCUGAGAACUAUCAAAUUAUCUUCAUUUUAUGAGAGAGAAAGUUGGGUUAGAGAUGGGACUUGAUGUGACCUCCCCAAGUUGAGCCCGUGUACAAAGUGGCAGUGUCUGGAUGUAACUCUAAAACCGCUUUCACCCUGUUCUCCACAGCUCAUCUUCUUCUGCCUUCUCUUCAUUCACCAGAACACUUUAAGUGGCAGACGUUCUCUUCAGGAGCAGAGGAGACACAGCCAGACUCUAGAAGAUGGUUCUUGUUUGCUGGGGAGGCAGACGACUCAAUGGACCUUGACAUUCAGCCUGACAAGCUCUUUACUGGGCAUGCACAGAUGGUUCAGCCGCUCCAUCUGAUGUAGAGAGAUCCUUGAGACACUGCUCCUACCCCAAAGUCCAGCAGAUUGGCAGCUCUUACUUCCGGAAAUGCAGGAGCAUCAACCUCGAUGUUGGUAGAGCUUACCUCUGUAUGCUGAGGGCAAAGGAUUUUUCUUUUGCCAUCCCAUUUCUCUAGCCACUCCAGGUCCACUUCUGUAGUACAACAUCUGGGGAUUGUCUUCAUGCCCACAGCUGCCAUCCACCAAGCAGGCUUCCCAAGGAGUUUCCUCAGCUUCUGCCAAGGCACAGUCAGCCAGCCCUGGGUGUUCCCCUGGACUCCUGUCGGAACCUUUUGUUGCUGUGUGUAGCGCUUGCACUCAUGGCAGACCCUGAGGGUGAAGGCCGUGUUUCAUGCCGUCAGCAGCACUGGCACAUUCCAUGUCACGUCCAUUACAGAGUGGAAUGACAGCAGCUGCCAUUUGCCGGGUCUGGCACAGCACCAAAUGCUUUAUGUCUAUGAUCUCACUUAAUCUCUACAUGAGGCAGAGGCCACCGAUGAGGAAAGAGAGCCCGAGAGAAGAGAAAUGAUGGGGCCAUGCUCCCAUAAAUGCUGGAGAUGUGGCUUUAAUUCUGGCUUCUCUACUUACUGGUUACAUCACAAUCCAUUUAGUAUCUUGGAGCCUUAGUUUUGUCAUCUGUGUAAUGAGUGUGACAAUCGAUAUUUC
This 1107-nucleotide long non-coding RNA is filed under the name Cricetulus griseus (Chinese hamster). Its description in RNAcentral is "lncRNA (ENSCGRG00015039412.1)". The record is from RNAcentral. Lineage: Eukaryota; Metazoa; Chordata; Mammalia; Rodentia; Cricetidae.